CACGUGAGUAACCUGCCCUUAACUCUGGGAUAAGCCUGGGAAACUGGGUCUAAUACCGGAUAUGACUCCUCAUCGCAUGGUGGGGGGUGGAAAGCUUUAUUGUGGUUUUGGAUGGACUCGCGGCCUAUCAGCUUGUUGGUGAGGUAAUGGCUCACCAAGGCGACGACGGGUAGCCGGCCUGAGAGGGUGACCGGCCACACUGGGACUGAGACACGGCCCAGACUCCUACGGGAGGCAGCAGUGGGGAAUAUUGCACAAUGGGCGAAAGCCUGAUGCAGCGACGCCGCGUGAGGGAUGACGGCCUUCGGGUUGUAAACCUCUUUCAGUAGGGAAGAAGCGAAAGUGACGGUACCUGCAGAAGAGCGCCGGCUAACUACGUGCCAGCAGCCGCGGUAAUACGUAGGGCGCAAGCGUUAUCCGGAAUUAUUGGGCGUAAAGAGCUCGUA
Molecule: ribosomal RNA, 446 nt
Filed under: Arthrobacter sp.
Lineage: Bacteria; Bacillati; Actinomycetota; Actinomycetes; Micrococcales; Micrococcaceae
Description: bacterial SSU rRNA
Rfam family: Bacterial small subunit ribosomal RNA
Source: RNAcentral